Molecule: ribosomal RNA, 346 nt
Filed under: uncultured bacterium
Lineage: Bacteria
Description: partial 16S ribosomal RNA
Rfam family: Bacterial small subunit ribosomal RNA
Source: RNAcentral
CCUACGGCAGCAGUGGGGGAUAUUGCACAAUGGGGGGAACCCUGAUGCAGCGACGCCGCGUGGGUGAAGAAGCGCCUCGGCGCGUAAAGCCCUGUCAGCAGGGAAGAAAAUGACGGUACCUGAAGAAGAAGCCCCGGCUAACUACGUGCCAGCAGCCGCGGUAAUACGUAGGGGGCAAGCGUUAUCCGGAUUUACUGGGUGUAAAGGGGGCGCAGACGGCGAUGCAAGCGAGGAGUGAAAGCCCGGGGCCCAACGCCGGGACUGCUCUUGGAACUGGGUGGCUGGAGUGCAGGAGGGGCAGGCGGAAGUGCUGGUGUAGCGGGGAAAUGCGGAGAUAGCAGGAGGA